CCUUGGUAUUUGCUUUGAGCAUUGGAGUCGUAGCCACUGAAUCCACCUUCACCGCGACCGCUAGAACCACUGUUCUGAGCACCACCAUUGUAAGCGUUUCCAGUUUGUUCGUAACAAUACAUAAUAACGUCCAACAGUUCUAUCCCCAUCCCGGGAUUCCAUGUGACCGAAGUCAUUGCCGGAUUCGUAGUCUUGAACGUCGUACUUGAAUUCAUAUUUAGCUGGACCAUAGUUCUCUUCCUCCUGUCCGUUGCCAUAGCCAUUGUUAUUGCCAGCACUAUAUCCUGAAUUUGGAUAUCCUUGAUUGGCUGAAUAACCACUUUGUUGCUGUUUUGAGAAGAUGGCUGAAGUAACACCUGGAGCAGCAUACGAGUUUUGUGGUGCGGUACCAGAGGUUUGACUUCUUUGGGGUGGUAAGUAAUUGUUAGCAGGUGAUUGGUAUGUUUGAGUGGGUGGUAAGUAAUUAUUUGUUGGCUCAGCAGAUUGUUGAUUAGGUGGAAGAUACGAAUUCUGUGGAACGGGAGGUUCGCACCUUACUAAGGCCACACACGCCAAAACAGCUAUCGUUGUAAAGCACUGUAAAAGCAGAAAUGCAGCAUAAAAUAAGAUUGAGUAAUGUUGGAAAAAAGUGAAUGGUUAAAUAUAAUUGGUAAAAGAGCGGCAGUUUGGCUUAAUUAUGGUGUGAUGGUUAUUAUAUUUUUUGCCAGAUGGUGAUUGUAUAGAGAAAAUACAUCAAAGGAAUCAGCACAAUGCACAAGUGAUACAUUUAUCAAUACCGCACGUUUAUUGAUGUUUAUUUUCUAUUUGUCAUUAUGCAAGCAUGGAUCAUGGUAAAGCAUGGGUAUGGGUAUAGCAUGAGUUAUUUUUAAGACUCAUCGUCUUAACGAAGGUGUUUUAUUUAAGAGCCAAAUAAAAAAUCGAUGAUGAGAUUAAGUUUAGGAUAAACAAUGGCAUCCUUUUAAAUGUUAUUAUUAAAGCAAAUAUAACUUGAAAAUCUAAGCUCAAAGUACUUUUAGAAUGUAUAUAUUCAGUAAGAUAAACUGGUAUAUAUGAGCUUCUCUUAAAUACAUAUGUUAGAGGUAUGCAAACUAUGCAUAGCAAAUUCAAAUGGUAUCAUUAAGUUUUGGUAUAGGUUUGCAAUGCUUAUUUAUUAUUUUAUUCACAAAAUAAGUUUAAAAAUAAGAGAAAAUAAGUCAGGUAAUGGUUAUCCAUUUUUCAUAUUGAUUUGUAAUUUUGAACAUGUGAAAAUAUGGAACAGCAAGAAAUAAUCAAAACACAGGGCAAAAUUCACAAAAUUGAUAUUAUAUACCAUUCUUUUUUUUUUGAAUACCUAUUAUAGAACCACUUUAUUCACUGAAUGUUCUUUUUUUAUUUAAGGAAUAUUUUGUGUUUCUAUUUAGGAUAAUUUUGUAUACAGACUUUUUAAAAAAACACAGGUAUUUUAUACAUACCUUCAUUUCGUAUUUUUAAAACUUAAUUUUUAUCACAAAACUCAAAAGAGUUAAAUAAUCCUUAUUGGUCUUCUAACGAAGAUGGUUAAACAAGAUUUGAUACUGAUCCACAUUCAGACACCAGUAUUUAUAUCUCAACAAAUAUACAUUAAACCUUAACGCGCCACUUGCAGCGCAAAAUCCCAAUCAUCAUCUUCCAAGUACAGAUCUUCUUAUUCACAAAUCUCUCAACAAAUAAAAUAAAAACAAAAAUCUUAGCAGAAAAAAAAAAACAAAAA
Episyrphus balteatus (marmalade hoverfly) is the source of this 1729-nucleotide long non-coding RNA. RefSeq lists it as uncharacterized. The transcript is spliced from 2 exons. Lineage: Eukaryota; Metazoa; Arthropoda; Insecta; Diptera; Syrphidae. The record is from RefSeq and is a predicted model, not a curated record.